Molecule: long non-coding RNA, 1871 nt
Organism: Dreissena polymorpha
Lineage: Eukaryota; Metazoa; Mollusca; Bivalvia; Myida; Dreissenidae
Exons: 3
Source: RefSeq, a predicted model, not a curated record
ACAUAGGAGGCGCAUAAUUUAUUGCUGUCGCGGGGCGGCCUGCGGCCGUGCGCCGUAUGUUAUUGAUAGUUCAGAAUAUUGUUCAAACAAUUGAAAACGUUGUGUGUGUUAAUAAGCUGAAAUAAAACGUCAAGAAAUCAGAAAUUGACUCUGUCUACGUUUAUCGCGUAUCUAUGACUAUGUCACACAUCAUUAAAUGGUUGCAUGCCGUGCCAGAAGCGAACCGAGAAGUAACAAAAUCCACUUUACGGACAUCACGGGCCAGUUAUUGCGUUCUCCAUCAAUAACGCUACACAGUUUUAAAUGGUGCCGUGAACAGGAUCGAACCGAGAAGUAACAGAAUCCACUAUACGGACAUCACGGGCCAACAGAACAACAACAACGCAACAUGGAAAACGGUGGCUUUUAAACACGAAACGGAUGCCGGGUUUAAGAACAAGUUCAAUUGUGCUGGAUUUUACCAAAAGCUACGCCAUGAUUGUUUGUUCAAGAAUGCUACAACGCUUUCACCAGCAAAGUCUGCUAAAACCAUUCUUUACAUAGAUGGUGCCAUCACUACGUUAUUGUCAAUAAGACCGGUGUGUACACAAUGCUGCUAACUCAAUAAUUAUGCAACCGUCAAACGAAAUCCUGAAUAUAAUCGAUUUGUUAAAAAUGUGCAGUUGUGUCCAAAAUGAAAUUCCCUGGUCCAACAUGUCAGGCACUUGGUAUCCGCUGUGAACAUUGCAAAAACUUGAACAAUGGGUUAGCGAUGGAAAUAAACUAGUAAGUUGUCAUGACGAUAUUAAAUGAUAACGACAGGGGAUAUUUAUAAAUGUUUGCCAUGAUUUUGAACAACUGAUGCUUGUAUCACCACAACGCAAAUGAAAGAUCGAGAUUUCAAGACUAUGCCUUUGAAGAUCGAGAUCGCGAAACAACGACUUCCACAACGAAUUGAAGACAGUACUUCAUCAACAUAAAAUGCAUAAGGGAUAUCAUUGUGUUUUGCUCUCAAAGCGAAACACAUGGUUCUUUAUUGCAAGAAGAUAAAUCAGCGCCUGAUAAUCUUUGGAGGACAUCAAGUGACGCAGCACUGGACAAAAUACUUAUGAUGUUAAACACUAUAGAGUGGGUGCAUGUGGUUUAUCUAUACGAUAUGCGUUGAAAGCGCAUCCGAAGUCAACUAUACUUGGCACACUAAGCCACCAAAGGGAACAACUGCUAUAGUUAAUACCUUGUGAGCAUUAUGACCAAUAGAAGGUCUUAAUGUCUCGAGCGAAAUGAAGACGCUGGAAAUAUUAUUGUUAUCCGCAUAUUUUCCGUCAUAUGUGUGUUUAUAUGAAUUAUUUUUUUCAUGAACUUCGUUAUUCAACAAUUUUAAAGAUAUUUUUAAAUCAUAAAAUAUAAUAAAAUCAAAUUAAGGGGAAAGGUUGUGUAACAUAACACACUAUAAUAAUCGAAUUGUGUACCAAAUUUCAUACAAUCCUAAAUAGACAGUCACAUAGAUCAACAUUUCAGUAGCCUCGGGUUAUCAAACGUCAAUAAGUACCGGGCACGAAUAUUUGCUUACCUUUGGUGUCAAUCUUCGGUCGAUUCCGUAUGUAUUAGUUGUGUCCGUUGCAUACGUCAUAUUUAUGUUGCAGACUCGUGACUUUACAAACAGCCAAUCAGAAUAACACACGUAACAAUUAUCAAAGCUUCCGUUGUUUAUAUAUAUAUUAAUAAGGCAGUAUUACUUGAGCAAGCGAAUAUAGAAGGCGCAUGAUUUAUUUCUGUCGCGGGGCGGCCUGCGGCCGUGCACUGUAUGUAACUUGUAGUUCACAAUAUUUUUCAAACAAUUGAAAACGGUGUGUGUGUUAAUAAGCAGAAAUAAAACGUAAAGAAAUCAGAAA